This 254-nucleotide ribosomal RNA is filed under the name uncultured bacterium. RNAcentral describes it as "partial 16S ribosomal RNA". It matches the Rfam family "Bacterial small subunit ribosomal RNA", at positions 524 to 776 of the family's 1533-position model. The record is from RNAcentral.
UACGAAGGGGACUAGCGUUGUUCGGAAUUACUGGGCGUAAAGCGCACGUAGGCGGAUUGCUAAGUCAGGGGUGAAAUCCCGGGGCUCAACCUCGGAACUGCCUUUGAUGACUGACAAUCUCGAGUCCGAUAGAGGUGGGUGGAAUUCCUAGUGUAGAGGUGAAAUUCGUAGAUAUUAGGAAGAACACCGGUGGCGAAGGCGGCCCACUGGAUCGGUACUGACGCUGAGGUGCGAAAGCGUGGGGAGCAAACAGG